UAUCAUCAAAAGUAAACUAAAAUCUAGUAUUUAAAUAACGCCCAAAUGUAUGCUUUUCAGAAAAGCAUCGGUGCCUCGUUAAGAGGCACCGACACUUAGCUAAAAUUGUAGCCUACAUUUUCGAAUUUCGUAUGUCAUUUUUGUUAAUAUCUUUUCAUCAGAAUCCUUUUUGAAAAUUGUAUGACCGCAAUUCCAACCAAG
This is a long non-coding RNA of Bradysia coprophila, 201 nucleotides long. The record is from RefSeq and is a predicted model, not a curated record. Lineage: Eukaryota; Metazoa; Arthropoda; Insecta; Diptera; Sciaridae.